UACAGAGGUCCCAAGCGUUGUUCGGAUUCACUGGGCGUAAAGGGUGCGUAGGCGGUCGGGUAAGUCUGAUGUGAAAUCUCACAGCUUAACUGUGAAACUGCAUUGGAUACUAUCCGGCUAGAGGAAUGGAGGGGAGACUGGAAUACUUGGUGUAGCAGUGAAAUGCGUAGAUAUCAAGUGGAACACCAGUGGCGAAGGCGAGUCUCUGGACAUUUCCUGAUGCUGAGGCACGAAAGCCAGGGGAGCAAACGGG
RNAcentral lists this ribosomal RNA (253 nucleotides) under uncultured bacterium. Its description in RNAcentral is "partial 16S ribosomal RNA". It matches the Rfam family "Bacterial small subunit ribosomal RNA", at positions 524 to 776 of the family's 1533-position model. The record is from RNAcentral.